AGCAAAGAGAUACGUUGAGAAAUGGUACGGAUCUACAUAAAAUACAAUUCAUCCUUGGAUAAAAUGGUACUGAUCUACAUAAAAUAUAAUUCACCCUUGGAUAUAAUAUCUGAAAUGCGUAAAUGUUAUGGUUCAAUGUUCAAGUUAGCUAGUGAAGUAAAAGGAAAUCGGUUGUCUGGAGGACUCUCUGGGUUUCUGCAUUUGGAUCAUCUACCGUUUAGCUGCUGACGAGAAGCAUAUGCUCUGCUGCACUUGUUUAAACUUCUAUCCUGUAAAGAAAAUUCGUGAAUGCAUCAUAUGCCAGGAUUAUUUUCCCUGAAAUGGGAGGGCAGCGCAGUUUUAAUUUAGCAGUUGUGGGAUCCGGGAAAGAAAAGGGUAAAGAAGAGUUAAAGGUUUUAGGGCAAGCUAGGAAGAAGAUGAAAGCCUUGAGCGGAAGGAAGAGGUCCGCAGACGCGGCCGUUGACAACUUAUUUAAGAAGAGGAGGCAAUCUAUAGCUUGCGAGGAAGUCGAACAAGAUAAUGUGAGCUUAGAGCUUUCGAAGAAUGGUAAAUACCCUCAGAGUGUGAUAAAGGCUGAGGAUUGGUCUGUUGCUACUCGAGAAUUACGACCGAGGAAGCAUCAGCUACCAUUUGCUGAGAAUAUCAUUAAAAAGAAUGAUGAAGGCACAAUAAUUGGGACUAGAGUAAAGGUCUUUUGGCCUCUGGACGAUGACUGGUAUGCUGGAACAGUUGAGUCUUUUGACAGAAACCUAAAAAGACACCACAUAGUAUAUGAUGACGGCGACGAGGAAUGGCUUGAGCUUGCACGAGAAAGAUUCAAAAUCCAACUUUUCCCAGAUGAUAGGUUUAGGAAAGCCAGUUCUUUAGUUUGGUCAGAUAAACUGGGGGUGCGGCGUCCUGAUAGGAUUAAUCAGUCCAGAAGAAAAGUCAAGAAUGGGAAAAGGAAAAGUGGGCGAAGAAUCGGAAAGUUAUGUAGCACAGAGAAGGAGAAAGUUAUACUAGCAAAGGCAAUGGAUUGCGAGGAGGUGGCAAAGAUGCUAAUUUUAAAGAAGACUGCACCGAGAUCAAAGAGAGCAAGAAUUGCAAAACAGUUCAAUCAAAAACAUUCUGGUCAAAAUCUCACAAAAGAUGUAAAUUGUGAGAUUGUGAGUGCAAAUGAUGGCGAAUUGCUGCACGUUAGGCACCAGGAUGCUCAAGACGUUGAAAGGAAGAUUGGCUUGGAUGCUAAUUUGGGCAAGAUUGAUGGUGCGGACGGUAGCAGACAGGGAGAGAGGCAAAGUUUUGAUCAGGUUGACAAUUUACUUGGAAAGGAGAUCAAUAUACAGGAAGAAAUUUCCUAUACUCUUCAAGCAGGGAAACAGGUUCAACAUAGCGAUGACAAAGAGUCUGUUAUCUCCACGGAAGUCAAUGAAAUGAAGUCCGAAAAGCAGAUAAAAAAAUUUGAUAAAAAUGAGCAAACUGAAAUUCACGUCAAUCAGUUGGACACGAAUCUAACACCUGAAAGGGAAUUUUCAAAUCAGGGUUGUCAGUUUGCCGAGGAUAAGACAACUGUAGAGUCAAGGCCAAACCUUACUCACUAUCCUGAAGAAAUGCAGCCAAAUGUUGAGGGGAUCUAUCAGAAUGUCUGUGGAAAGCAGGCAUUUGCUAGGAUCAGUAAUGAAAGUGUUAACGAAAAGCUGGAAAGUUCUGACAUGGUUAACAUACAUGGAAAGUCACAGGGAAUCGUAGACAACUUAGCUGAAAAGCACCCCUAUGGAAUAAGUAAUGAUGAAAAAGAAGCUGAAAAUCAAGUAAGCUGGGAUCUUGAUAGUGUGCUUGGCAACAAGCAUGGAAUUAGAAGGCAGCGUAGCGUUAUGAAAAUCAGAUUGAGAGAUUCAAUUUCAGCCACAGAUAGCCUGUCCAAUUCUAAUAGAGAGGGCCAUAUUGUGAACAGACGGGACCUACAAUCCAGCCCCAGUAGGGAUGGCUUAUCUGGCCAUAGGCAGAAAAAUAUCGAAUGGAAGCCAUAGGUUAAAUACAUCAUAUAAUGGCAAAUAGAGAAGCUUUUGGAUCAAGUUCAGCUUCAGGCUGCUCCCCAUUUGUGCUACUAUCGAUUACAGGAACUUGACCUACUAGAGCUAGAGAUUUGCUUGGAAGUAUGUUGUGCAACAACAGAUGCCGAGGUCAAUUAUUUCAUUAAAUGUCAAAAGCUAUAUCAUGGAGGCAUAAAUUGCCUCAAAUACCAUCUUGCAGGCAUUACUCAUUGUGAUGCCAGGCCUUAUACCCACACUACCAAAGAGGUAAAAAGAGAGAUGAAUACUCAACUUGCAUUGGUAGAAGAGAAAAAAUUGCAAACGGAGAAGACAAGGGCAGCCAUAGCAGCAUCCAUAGCUAGUGGUAUGGUCCUCAAGUGCAACCAAAAUCAGAUGAAGAGACGACAUGUCAAGGCAUAGUAGGCUCUCUUUGUGGUCCACUCAUCUGAAGCACAUUGACCUCCACUUCAUCUACUUCAAGUAGAGUGCUAGUGCCUACACCUAUACACACACCACAUAGUUUUUUUGUGCCCAGAAACAAAACUAGAGCAGAACCAUCAUUAGAAGCUACAGGAUGGAACUUUGAAGGUGCAUGAACAUGUAGAUAUGGCAUGUUCCGAUUUUUGGUACUUCAACAACAUUCUUUUCAAUGUGGCAAGUAGUCCUUAUUGGGAGAAUUUGGUAACUACAUUGAUAGUUGCGGGAAAAGGCUAUAAGAUGCCUUCUCAUAAAGACUUGAUUGGGAGGUACUAAAUGAUGAGGGUGGCUAAAGUAGCAUGUUAAACAUGUAGGAAAACACUCAACAUGUGUGUUUUCCGAACCACGCCUCCAAUAUAUAUGUCUUAUUCUGGUUUGAGACAACCAUUGUGUGUGAGCCAAUGCUCUUAUGGUACAAUUAAUAUACCUUUGCCAUAUAUACAGAAUAGAACAAAAAGUGUAUUGAAUUAAAAGGCUGCCUCAAGUUCCUCAGUAACAAUUUAGGGGAUCUGAUAUUUGCCUUGUUUAGUUAGCCUUUCAAGCUAGUUGAGCACUUAUCCAUUUCUAUCUAAAAUCAUGUCUCUUCUUUU
RNA transcript from Cryptomeria japonica (Japanese cedar), 3079 nucleotides. It is a transcript of the gene named sister chromatid cohesion protein PDS5 homolog D, with no coding region annotated. Lineage: Eukaryota; Viridiplantae; Streptophyta; Pinopsida; Cupressales; Cupressaceae. The transcript is spliced from 5 exons. The record is from RefSeq and is a predicted model, not a curated record.